UACAGACAUGUGAAAAAUAGCCUAAUAAGGAUCUUCGUGGUAAAAUCAGAUGGAAAACGGGGAGGCAGAGUCGCGUCUCCAGCAGCUCAUUCGACGCGGCGGCUCCUCCGAGUUGUACAAUAAUCAUCAGUGCUGGCCCGGUGCCGCUGGAUUAUUUUGUAUAUUCAUGAAGGCCCUCAUCAGCCGUCAGGAGACUGUGCAGUAAUCCUUGGAUGAAAUAAGGCCAAUCAGAGCGAUAAUGAGGAAGGUCAAUUGCCCAGAGGCUUCUCCUCCUGUUUUCCAUCUAUUUAUAUACGUGGACCAUAAUAAGCCUCUUGGAACCAGAAGUUACUGGGCCUACAUAAACACCUGCUCUGGUUUUUUGUUUGUCUUUUACCCGAAAUCAGCAAAGUUUUUUUUUUUUUAAAUGAAUCUGCAAAACCAUGUCAAAGCUAUCAACUCAUGCAUGGAGUCGGAAAACAAAGGAGGAUUCUAAUAAUGUUUAUUUUCCUCUUUAUCAGAGACCCCCCCCCCAUACAAAAUCCCAAACCAAAAGAGGAGCCUAUAAAGGAAUGUCUAAACUGCUCACAGAGCUUUCUUUUCACAAAACGAGCGAGAAACCAUCAACAGGGCAGGGAAGGCAAACACGUCUGCCCCACACUGCUUGUGCUUUCUUGGGUCACAGAGACACAUCCGAGCAGGUCAUGGGCUGCUUCCACCGACAGAUGUCCUGAUGUGAAGGAGAGUACCACUGAAGAAAAUGCCUGAACUGCUAUUAUCUGCAUCCUUCAAGCGCUUCCAUUGAAAUCACAUUUUGAAUUAGUUGGGGAGAAAGUGAGCUGCAUGCUGAAGCUGUACUUGAUAUCUGAAUCGCACUUCCGUGGGGAAGAAAAAAAUUAUCCCUUUUUAGGCAAAUUGCAUAUGAGACAAAUAAACGCAUUUAUUCACAGCAGCAAAAUGAAAGUCCCCAAGAAGUGUCACGCAGAAAUGCCUGGAUAUGUUAGGUCCCAGCACACCUCUGACGGCUUUUCUUCUCAUCACGUAGACAAUGUUUUCAAUGAAGAGCAUCCUGCUUAAAGUUCAUUAAGAAUUAUCUCAUUUUGUCUAAACAAGCUGACAGGGCAUCCUGGAUCAUUAG
RNAcentral lists this long non-coding RNA (1117 nucleotides) under Mus musculus (house mouse). RNAcentral's name for it is "predicted gene, 31621". The record is from RNAcentral. Lineage: Eukaryota; Metazoa; Chordata; Mammalia; Rodentia; Muridae.